This 396-nucleotide ribosomal RNA is filed under the name Escherichia coli. RNAcentral describes it as "bacterial SSU rRNA". It matches the Rfam family "Bacterial small subunit ribosomal RNA", at positions 1050 to 1446 of the family's 1533-position model. Lineage: Bacteria; Pseudomonadati; Pseudomonadota; Gammaproteobacteria; Enterobacterales; Enterobacteriaceae. The record is from RNAcentral.
UGUCGUCAGCUCGUGUUGUGAAAUGUUGGGUUAAGUCCCGCAACGAGCGCAACCCUUAUCCUUUGUUGCCAGCGGUCCGGCCGGGAACUCAAAGGAGACUGCCAGUGAUAAACUGGAGGAAGGUGGGGAUGACGUCAAGUCAUCAUGGCCCUUACGACCAGGGCUACACACGUGCUACAAUGGCGCAUACAAAGAGAAGCGACCUCGCGAGAGCAAGCGGACCUCAUAAAGUGCGUCGUAGUCCGGAUUGGAGUCUGCAACUCGACUCCAUGAAGUCGGAAUCGCUAGUAAUCGUGGAUCAGAAUGCCACGGUGAAUACGUUCCCGGGCCUUGUACACACCGCCCGUCACACCAUGGGAGUGGGUUGCAAAAGAAGUAGGUAGCUUAACCUUCGGG